RNAcentral lists this ribosomal RNA (497 nucleotides) under uncultured bacterium. RNAcentral describes it as "partial 16S ribosomal RNA". It matches the Rfam family "Bacterial small subunit ribosomal RNA", at positions 28 to 507 of the family's 1533-position model. The record is from RNAcentral.
GAUGAACGCUGGCGGCGUGCCUAAUACAUGCGAGUCGAGCGAACGGACGAGAAGCUUGCUUCUCUGAUGUUAGCGGCGGACGGGUGAGUAACACGUGGAUAACCUACCUAUAAGACUGGGAUAACUUCGGGAAACCGGAGCUAAUACCGGAUAAUAUUUUGAACCGCAUGAUUCAAAAGUGAAAGACGGUCUUGCUGUCACUUAUAGAUGGAUCCGCGCUGCAUUAGCUAGUUGGUAAGGUAACGGCUUACCAAGGCAACGAUGCAUAGCCGACCUGAGAGGGUGAUCGGCCACACUGGAACUGAGACACGGUCCAGACUCCUACGGGAGGCAGCAGUAGGGAAUCUUCCGCAAUGGGCGAAAGCCUGACGGAGCAACGCCGCGUGAGUGAUGAAGGUCUUCGGAUCGUAAAACUCUGUUAUUAGGGAAGAACAUAUGUGUAAGUAACUGUGCACAUCUUGACGGUACCUAAUCAGAAAGCCACGGCUAACUACGUG